This 377-nucleotide unclassified non-coding RNA is filed under the name plant metagenome. RNAcentral describes it as "partial contains 5.8S ribosomal RNA, internal transcribed spacer 2, and large subunit ribosomal RNA". The stretch from base 1 to 104 matches the Rfam family "5.8S ribosomal RNA", at positions 50 to 154 of the family's 154-position model. The record is from RNAcentral.
GAAAUGCGAUAAGUAAUGUGAAUUGCAGAAUUCAGUGAAUCAUCGAAUCUUUGAACGCACCUUGCGCUCCUUGGUAUUCCUUGGAGCAUGCCUUUUGAGUAUCAUGAAAUCUUCAAAGUAAAUCUUUUGUUAACUCAAUUGGUUUCUACUUUGGUAUUGGAGGUCUUUGCAGCUUCACACCUGCUCCUCUUUGUUCAUUAGCUGGAUCUCAGUGUUAUGCUUGGUUCCACUCGGCGUGAUAAGUUAUCUAUCGCUGAGGACACUGUAAAAGGUGGCCAAGGUAAAUGCAGAUGAACCGCUUCUAAUAGUCCAUUGACUUGGACAAUACUUUUAUGAUCUGAUCUCAAAUCAGGUAGGACUACCCGCUGAACUUAAGC